RNAcentral lists this transfer RNA (62 nucleotides) under Gargara sp. 16071360. RNAcentral describes it as "tRNA-Tyr". The record is from RNAcentral. Lineage: Eukaryota; Metazoa; Arthropoda; Insecta; Hemiptera; Membracidae.
AUUAGGGUGUCUGAAUAAAGUAACAAAUUGUAAAUUUGUCAAUGAAGUUGAUUCCCCUAAUA